GUGGGAUUGGCGCUAAGGCCCUAAACUAAACUAAAAACAAAUUCAUAACACAUUGACAAUCCAAAAAGGGAUGUGUUGAACAGAAAGCUCUCAACAGAGACAUAGGAACUUUGUUCAAAAUAAUAUCUAGAACAUGAUUGUUCUAAGCUCACAUACCUUCAGCUGCUUGGCUACAUCUUUAGCAGAUGACCCAGAAACUUC
RNAcentral lists this unclassified non-coding RNA (201 nucleotides) under Hevea brasiliensis (rubber tree). The record is from RNAcentral. Lineage: Eukaryota; Viridiplantae; Streptophyta; Magnoliopsida; Malpighiales; Euphorbiaceae.